This is a long non-coding RNA of Odontomachus brunneus, 5338 nucleotides long. RefSeq lists it as uncharacterized. The transcript has 4 exons. The record is from RefSeq and is a predicted model, not a curated record. NCBI's taxonomy places the organism in Eukaryota, Metazoa, Arthropoda, Insecta, Hymenoptera, Formicidae.
AAGGCAUUCUAAUUCAACACGCCACCCAUGAUGUUGGCCCGACGAUGACAGCUCCCAUCCCGGCUUUGAUAUUUCACCGCUUUUACAGCCGUCUAUCCCCCUCCCCACUCGUCCACCCGACGUUCCUCACUUCCCCACCAACCUCUCCUCCGACAUUCCAUCCCUCUCUCUCAUACUAUAGUCGCUUCCCCUGCUACCCCUACCCGCUGGGCUACCAUAGCUGCCACGACACGGAACCGUCGUCCCUGCCACCACGGCAACCCGAUAUUUUAUACCGUGAAACCUGUCUGUCUCUCCGGCCGGCCCCGCUUAAUAAGCAGCUUUCAAAAUAGAAAUGUAAUGGGCUAGUGGGGGUAGGGGAGCGGGUCGGGUGAUUGAUUGCUCGCUCAACGACUUACCGACUUGCCGCGGCCCCACGGGGUAACGAAUGACAGCCACUUAAGCGCUGUUUGCCUACAGUUUUGUAAAAGCGUUUUAAUUAUCGCCCCAGCUCCGGCCUCGACUACAGUGCGCACUGAGUCAUCCGGUACUUAACGUCUCGCGGCUACCGAUCUCUCGAUGUUUGCGUGCCACUGUUACUGUCACGUUGUGGAUUGCACACCCCGUAGAUCCGUCGAUAUCGGACAGUCACUGGCGAUGUAACGAAUACUGAUCUCUAGCGAGUAGUGAGUAGUGCGUUUUUCAGGCCGCGUUAUCACAUAGGUAGUACACGAAUUCUUUCAUCACUUUUAUCUUAUCGACCUGUCCGAUACUUACUUGUACAAGCGAAAGUGAGCAUCGUGCUUUAUUCAUCCAUACGUACGAGUCCUUUCCAUCGUCAACAAUCGAGUUCUUUUCAAAUGUUAUUUAAAAAAAUAAAAUCGUGUGUAUUUACGCAAAAUAAAGCGCGCAAGGCACAUACUUGGUGAAAUCCUACGAUGCAUUCACGCGUGCAACGCAUUUACGCGCUCGCCAAGUACGCAUCGUGCGCGUCCGCAUGACGAGCGAUACAACCAUUAAAGAGCUUGACUAUCAGGCCUCGUUGGAACUCAAACGCUCCGCGGUUAGGCGAUUACGGCCAUUCCGUUAAGUACAGCUUAAGCAAGAUAAAGCGAUCGAUGAAGUAACUAUGUUACAAGGUAAUUACGACGAAUUAUGACGAUAUCCACACGCCCGCUACGUAGACCGCAUAUCCGCGGUAAACAAUAAUUACCUCGGGGAGCACUUCGCACAGGAAUGCAACUGAACAGUAUCUGAGAAAUGCAUAUAGGCCAGCCCCUUGUGCCUUGCUUCGAAGAUUUCAAGCUUGCAGACGUACCAACAACGGAUUCAGUCUGGUCAUUGAUGUGUCAUUCCUAUUAUAAACACCCUGUUUACCUACAACAAAUUCCAAUAUUAAGUGGCCGUCGAAUGAUUGCCGAACCGACGACACCGCGACAACGAUCCGUCUAUUGAAGUCUUUCAAGACCGUAUUGUGACCAUACGAAUUCGCUCCGGGAACAAUAGACAUCGGGAGAGCUUCGGAUAAAAGUGUAAAAAUGCUGACAAGCGGAUAAUAAAGGAGGCAGUCAGUCACUUUGAGAGAUGGCGCCGAACAAAGAGGGCGAACGAAGGAAGAGACGACCCGACGAGAGCAGGAGCGGGGGAUUGCUCGGUGAGCCGUGAAAGGGAAAAAGAUGGAUGAACGCGAACGCAGUUGGCGUGCACGGAGGAGAAACAGAAUUUGCGGGGGAUAAUAAAUCAUAGCGGUCUUUCUUCCGCCAUCCCUCUACCCCUCUUCGCUCCUAACUUCUUAUACACCCAGCUCUGCGCUCGGAAUGACAGGGGUGCGCGCUAUGCGGUUAUAUACGUAUCGUCGAGGACGGAUACAACCUAUUUUGUAUCAAGUUUCGCAUGAAAAGUGAACCACGCGUUGCGAAGCGAGCUUUAUAUACGAAUCUGCACGGUUUUCUCGAUGAAGAUUUAUUACCUCACACGUUUACAACGGCACAUUACGCCAUUUAUGUCAGAAUAAUUUGCUAUAAAGCAAACAUUAAGUCAUUGUGACAUAAUUAGUUUAUUAUUUUUGCAACUUCAUUGCAGCACGCCGACUUACAUAUUUGUUUCAAUGAAUUAGAAUACUUCCUUGCAGAAUAGAAUGAAUUCAGAACUUCACCGGCGUAAUUUUGAAUUCACGUGAUCCAACUGAGUUACGGAAAAAGAGCGCCGCCGUGCGUGUCACGCGUCUACGAAGACCACAAUACGGACUUAUAAUUAUUUCUGACAACCCGUUUCACUAUGCCGAUGAUCAAAGAGGUCACGUUAUCCGGCUUCCGACAGUAUGCCAGUCAAUAGAUCGACCGGGAAAAAGGAAGUGACGGAUAAAAAAAAAGAAAGUGCGCGCUCGGCAAUAAUAAUAACAGGGGACGGAGACACAGGCAGAAAUACGGAGCUGCCGGCGCAGCACAUCGAGCAACUCGGCAAGGGUCUCGUUGCCUCAUGUUUAAAUCAGCGAUAACGAGAAGCUUCGGUGACAUAUGUCACUGUCGCUGUCAGCCGGCUACACAAUCAAUAUAGUUACCCGCCCGUCCGUCUGUCCGCCCUCUCUCCUUGCGUCGCCGGCUCGAGCUGCGCCUGCUUUUCAGCCUUCGCAUGCAUAGACCGUAUACCCGUCCGAUAAUGUAUUCGGUACGUGACUUCGUAUUCGACAAAUACAAGAGCACCGUAGUCCGAUGCACUGCUCGCCACGCAGUCCGACGCAUCGUUGAAUGUCUUUCACAAGAUUCGAAAAACAUCCGAUGUCACACUAUCGUAGAUGAGGUAGCAUAGUAAUUAGCCGAUCGUUUUGAUAUUUCCAAUUUUUUUUAAUUUUUUAUGUUAUUAUUUCGACACAAAAAUUAUCUUUAAUUCGUCCCACUGAAUAUCUGCUAAAAUAAUCGUGUCGUUUUAUUCGUAUCGCUUUCAUUUCUAUUUUAUGUUUAUAACAUUACGCAUGCAAUAGAAAUAUACAUUGUUAGGAAAUAUAUAAUAUCGACUGAAAAGUCGAUAUAUGUAAAUCGUUACGUACGUGUUUAAUGUAUGUAUAUUUAAGAUAUAUGCGCGUCGUUAGUGCAUCUAAAUCAGUAACACAGAUGAAUUUGUUGAAUGUCUUUGCUGUUGAUAGUAACCUCACAACCUAAUAGAACAGCGGUAGCUGAAAUUAACACGGACAUGUGUAAACAGCUUUGGAUAAUAAAUAUGAUGCGUUCGAUUGACUCGGAUUACCACUUAAUUUAGACGAUGGACGAGGCGACAGUUUGUCAAUCGUCUGCGAAUCCCGGUUUACCGAGCAUACACGCGGGUCCAAAUGGCUUUAUCGCGCCGUCAAUCAAUAAUAGCGGCUUACUGAUUAAACGACUUGCUUAAUAUUCACGUAAUACAACCGAGAUGUUAAAUCAAACAUCAAUAUCUAUCAUGGACAAAUGAAACUGAAAGAAAAUACAAUAGGUAACUCUAGAUGGGUAUAACGGAGUUUAGAAGGAAAAAUAAUGCCUACUGUGGAACACACAAAGCUGUCGGCCAUAAAACACUGAUGUCAGGCCAGGCAAACGGCGCGCAAGCGCGCACGACCUGCAUUUUUAUGUCCACGACCAGAUCCGUGCGCGGAUUUUUUCCAGGUCUAGUGAGUUUGAGAGUGGGCCCCCACAAUGUCGGACACACACACACACACGCGCGCACGACGUACACACAUAUGCGGUUACAUACUAGGAAACAUCACAAUCUUUAACUUGCAAUAUUGCGAUUCAAUUUCUUGGUUAAUCGUAUUCACAUUUGAAAUUCAGAAGUCAAAUCACGAGUCUAUAUCUUACACAAAUACACUGACGUUUAUUUAUUACCACUACGUCAUUCGGGUUUAUUCGAGCCACGAAACAUCAUAGUCGCUUACUAUUGCGCUACAUCAUAUUACGAUAGCAAGUGCUUGUCCAUUAACGAGUGAGCAUUACGAAAGACGAUCCAUCGAGUGAUAAGUGGACAGUUGAGAAAACCGUCCAAAUUAAUGAAAUCCUGUCAAAUCUGAUUGCACUUGAAAAAUAAUGAGUCUACGACAAUAAAUAUCCAAUGCUAUAUCAAAACAACUCAAUUUAUUACUCGGUAACAUCAGAAGGUAACAUCCCCUGACCUAGAAAAAACACUCGCAUUUCCGGAUUUCUCUGUACUGGAGUCCAUGAAUUAUCACUUUAGACAUCUGCACGAGAACUUGGCGGAUUCCUCAAACGUUCUCGUUUAAACUUAAUAAAACAUCGUCGUGGUUGUGCGUAAUAUUGCUACCAUUAACAUAACUUCAAGACCAUAAACUCUGACGAAACAUGCAGACUCGUUUACGUGGACUGAGCCGAGAGAGCGAAGGUUCCCUCGAAGCGUUAUCCUCGGAACUUCAAUUUAUGGAACACCCGUCCAUAAUCGGACAUAUCUCAGGCCCGUCCGAACAGCCGCUAUUCCGGAUACGAUAAUGGCACUGCCUUUGAUAAAUCAGUCCGCGUUAGGUGGCAUUAAAGGCCUGAGGGACGGCUCUGCAACAGCAAUCUCCUGAUUUUAUUUCUCGAAGGCCCGUGCGGGUGCUCUCUACUUAUCUGGCGCCUCAACUCGUUUACUGGGGUUAGUAUGAGAAGCGCCUUCGUCGGGUCGUCUCUAUGCCUAAUUCUCUCGUCUUGCACUCCAACAUAGUCCGCGUGCGGCACGACCCCGCAUGGUCGAAAUUAUCGAGGACGGCAGCCUGCUAUUACUAUUAUGCCCUCGACCCUUCGUGCUGAGACAACUACUAGGAUCGCUAAUUAUUUCGAACGAAAUGACCCCCAGACGGCUAAUGACAAUGCCGAUGGAGGCGGGUAGUUCUCUAAAAUCGUGUUAUUAAAAUAGGACAAAUGAUGAUAGGUUUUGGAUCGGAGUUCGCUCGUCUGCCAAUGACAUCAGCUUCGAAAGUUAACUUACACUUAUGUGUUAACGACGCACAGAAGUUUCGAAACUCAUGUGUGGUUUUAAUAUAUUUUAACGCAUCCAUCUAUACACAUGUAUAUGUACGUAAGUGCGGUAGUAUAAAUGGCUUAUAAUUUCUUGGCGUUUCUUAUUGUUCAAAACUAAUAAAUUCCAUUAAUAAAUUUGACUUUGUUUUGAGAAAAAUACCAAUCAAUACUAGUGACAAUGUGAUUUGGAAUAAAAUUUGAAUAUCACAAAUGUCUAAAUUUUAAACUCUUCAAAUCAAUUGCAAAUUUUCAUUAAAGUAUUUCGUGAGAUUUCUUUACUGCUGUCCAGUAUAGCUAUUUUAACGCAGUGUGUGUCUGGUUUCCUUUUGGGAAACAACGCGGAACAGUUAGGAUCGACUGUCACGAUUGUUUUCAUGUUC